Molecule: unclassified non-coding RNA, 307 nt
Filed under: Hevea brasiliensis (rubber tree)
Lineage: Eukaryota; Viridiplantae; Streptophyta; Magnoliopsida; Malpighiales; Euphorbiaceae
Source: RNAcentral
GGAGAUUGUGCAAAACUAAACUUUGGGAUUCUUAAGAAAUAGCUCAAAGCCUCAUGGAAAAUUUCAAUCCAAUUAAAGCAUUCAUGCUGGGUUACCAUUACAAGUUAAAUCAGUUCAGUAUCAAACAGAAAUGAUGGGAAUUUGUUUAUUAGGACAGUAAAGAAAAGAUAAUAUAGUAUUUCAUUAAUGAAGGCCUUGGUUAUAGUUUCUUCAGAUGUGCUUCACUCUAUGCAAAAAGGAAUAUAAUUUCAGCAAGGUUAUCUACAAUCACAAGCUUAUCUUGCUUAACUGGAAUAGUAGAGGUGCC